This is a long non-coding RNA of Dermacentor albipictus, 306 nucleotides long. RefSeq lists it as uncharacterized. The record is from RefSeq and is a predicted model, not a curated record. Lineage: Eukaryota; Metazoa; Arthropoda; Arachnida; Ixodida; Ixodidae.
UGGAAAUCGCAAUGAUCAACAUGUGGCGAUCAUCUCAAAGAGCUAGUUGGCCUUGGCGUGAUAAGUACAGCCCGCUUGGCCACUACUUCGUGGUAGUGCGCGGCCAUGUGCGAGGAGGUCCUUCUCGGCCUGCGUUUCUUCUCUGUGGUCGCCAUCUUUUCCCAGCAAUUUGCAAAAGACCCAUACGCAAGGGCCGACAAGCACCGGCGGGCUCACAUAUGCAUGCCGAUUACUGCAGGGACCAGACCGGCUGAACAAGGGCUCCUAGAUAUGUCGUAUGCCUGGGCAAGUUCAUAGAAGGUGACA